UUGUUGUUGCAGUUGUUGUUGAUGUUGGAGCAGGUGUAGUUGAUGAGACAGCUGUAGUGGUUGAUGUUUGAGCUGUUGUUGUAGUAGUUGCAUCUGUGGUUGUUGUAGUGGCAGAUGUAGUUGUUGUGGCUGUAUCUGUAGUUGACGUGGGUGCAGUUGUUGUUGAUGUGGCAGGUUCUGUGGUUGUUGUGGCAGUUGUAUUUGUUGUUGAUGUUUGAGCUGCUGUUGGAGCAACUGUGGUUGUUGUGGCACCUGCCGUGUUUGUUGUUACAGUUGUUGUUGGAGCAGGUGUAGUUGAUGAGACAGCUGUUGUUGUUGUUGGAGCAGGUGUGGUUGUUGUACUGGCAGAUGUAGUUGUUGUGGCUGUAUCUGUGGUUGAAGUGGGUGCAGUUAUAGUUGAUGUGGCAUGUUCUGUGAUUGUUGUGGCAGCUACAGUUGUUGUGGGAAGUGCUGUGGUUGACAUGGUUGCUGCUGUUGUUGUUGGAGCAACUGUGGUUGUAGUGGCACCUGCCAUGUUUGUUGUUGCAGUUG
Esox lucius (northern pike) is the source of this 531-nucleotide long non-coding RNA. Lineage: Eukaryota; Metazoa; Chordata; Actinopteri; Esociformes; Esocidae. The record is from Ensembl.